Molecule: ribosomal RNA, 253 nt
Filed under: uncultured bacterium
Lineage: Bacteria
Description: partial 16S ribosomal RNA
Rfam family: Bacterial small subunit ribosomal RNA
Source: RNAcentral
UACAGAGGGUGCAAGCGUUAAUCGGAAUGACUGGGCGUAAAGGGCGCGUAGGUGGGUGGAUAAGUCGUCGGUGAAAGCCCUGGGCUCAACCUAGGAAUGGCCGAUGAUACUGUUUGUCUAGAGUGAAGUAGAGGGUAGCGGAAUUUCCGGUGUAGCGGUGAAAUGCGUAGAUAUCGGAAAGAACACCAGUGGCGAAGGCGGCUACCUGGACUUUGACUGACACUGAGGCGCGAAAGCGUGGGGAGCGAACAGG